GACGAACGCUGGCGGCGUGCUUAACACAUGCAAGUCGAACGGCAAACGAGUGAGCUCGCUCUCUUCGGGUUAGUGACGGACGGGUGAGUAACACGUGAGCCAUCUUCCACUUAUUCUUGGGUAAGCGUUGGAAACGACGUCUACUAAUAGCUACGACGAGGGAGGGGAUACUCUCCGCGUGGUUCGGACUUCGGUUGGGGAUGGGAGGGGGGCCCAUCGUCUUGUUGGGGGGGUAACGGCUCCCCAAGGCGCCGACGGGUGGCGGGCCUGUGAGGGUGACCGGCCACACUGGGACUGAGAGAGGGCCCAGAGUCCUACGGGGGGCAGCGGUGGGAAAUAUGGCACAGUGGGCGCAAGCCUGAUGCGGCAACGCCGGGUGAGGGACGACGGCCUUCGGGUUGUAAACCGCUUUUAGCAGGGAAGAAGCGAAUGUGACGGUACCUGCAGAAAAAGCACCGGCUAACUACGUG
RNAcentral lists this ribosomal RNA (470 nucleotides) under uncultured bacterium. Its description in RNAcentral is "partial 16S ribosomal RNA". It matches the Rfam family "Bacterial small subunit ribosomal RNA", at positions 28 to 507 of the family's 1533-position model. The record is from RNAcentral.